RNAcentral lists this ribosomal RNA (254 nucleotides) under uncultured bacterium. Its description in RNAcentral is "partial 16S ribosomal RNA". It matches the Rfam family "Bacterial small subunit ribosomal RNA", at positions 524 to 776 of the family's 1533-position model. The record is from RNAcentral.
UACGGGGGGAGCAAGCGUUGUUCGGAUUUACUGGGCGUAAAGGGCGCGUAGGCGGUCAGCACAAGUCAGUUGUGAAAUCUCCGGGCUUAACUCGGAACGGUCAACUGAUACUGUGCGACUAGAGUGCAGAAGGGGCAACUGGAAUUCUCGGUGUAGUGGUGAAAUGCGUAGAUAUCGAGAGGAACACCUGCGGCGAAGGCGGGUUGCUGGGCUGACACUGACGCUGAGGCGCGAAAGCCAGGGGAGCGAACGGG